GCGCCCGUAGCUCAGCUGGAUAGAGCGUUUGACUACGAAUCAAAAGGCCACGGGUUCGAAUCCUGUCGGGCGCACCA
RNAcentral lists this transfer RNA (77 nucleotides) under Thermoanaerobacterium saccharolyticum. RNAcentral describes it as "tRNA-Arg". It matches the Rfam family "tRNA". From Rfam's summary of the family: Transfer RNA (tRNA) molecules are approximately 80 nucleotides in length. Lineage: Bacteria; Bacillati; Bacillota; Clostridia; Thermoanaerobacterales; Thermoanaerobacteraceae. RNAcentral also lists the same sequence under 4 other names. The record is from RNAcentral.